AACGAACGCUGGCGGCAUGCCUAACACAUGCAAGUCGAACGAGACCUUCGGGUCUAGUGGCGCACGGGUGCGUAACGCGUGGGAACCUGCCCUUAGGUUCGGAAUAACUCCCCGAAAGGGGUGCUAAUACCGGAUAAUGUCUUCGGACCAAAGAUUUAUCGCCUUUGGAUGGGCCCGCGUUGGAUUAGCUAGUUGGUAGGGUAAAAGCCUACCAAGGCGACGAUCCAUAGCUGGUCUGAGAGGAUGAUCAGCCACACUGGGACUGAGACACGGCCCAGACUCCUACGGGAGGCAGCAGUGGGGAAUAUUGGACGAUGGGCGAAAGCCUGAUCCAGCCAUGCCGCGUGAGUGAUGAAGGCCUUAGGGUUGUAAAGCUCUUUUACCCGGGAUGAUAAUGACAGUACCGGGAGAAUAAGCUCCGGCUAACUCCGUG
This 433-nucleotide ribosomal RNA is filed under the name uncultured bacterium. RNAcentral's name for it is "partial 16S ribosomal RNA". It matches the Rfam family "Bacterial small subunit ribosomal RNA", at positions 29 to 507 of the family's 1533-position model. The record is from RNAcentral.